RNAcentral lists this ribosomal RNA (771 nucleotides) under uncultured Neocallimastigales. RNAcentral's name for it is "partial large subunit ribosomal RNA". It matches the Rfam family "Eukaryotic large subunit ribosomal RNA", at positions 18 to 640 of the family's 3401-position model. The record is from RNAcentral. Lineage: Eukaryota; Fungi; Neocallimastigomycota; Neocallimastigomycetes; Neocallimastigales.
UCAGACGAUGCGUCAUGCAUAUCAAUAAGCGGAGGAAAAGAAACUAACAAGGAUUCCCUCAGUAACGGCGAGUGAAGCGGGAAGAGCUCAAAUUUGAAAUCUUGAAAGGUCACCUUUCACGAAUUGUAGUUUAAAGAAGUGUUUUCUGUUACGAUCGUAAUAUAAGUUCUUUGGAAUAGGACAUCACAGAGGGUGAGAAUCCCGUCUAUGAUUGCGAUUUGUAGCUUUGUGAUACACUUUCAAAGAGUCGGGUUGUUUGGGAAUGCAGCCCAAAACGGGAGGUAAAUUUCUUCUAAGGCUAAAUAUUGGCGAGAGACCGAUAGCGAACAAGUACCGUGAGGGAAAGAUGAAAAGAACUUUGAAAAGAGAGUUAAAUAGUACGUGAAAUUGUCAAAAGGGAAGCGUUUAACACCAGUGUUGUUUUCUGAAAAUCAACCUCUGUUAGCUUUAUGCAUGUUUGCUUAGACCUAAUCAGCUAUCUUGCAUGUUCUAUUGUUUGCAGUGGUGCACUUUUCAGUUUACAGGUCAACAUCAGUUUUUUUUACCGUAAAAAAGUUAAAGAAAGGUAGCUCAUGGCUCCGGUCGUGAGUGUUAUAGUCUUUUUCCUAUGCGGUAGGAGAGACUGAGGUCUGCAGUGUAGGCUAUUUGGCUAGAUACUCAGGUGCUAUGUGAUACCAUUUCAUAAACAACUUGUUGAUUAUGUUUUGUCUAUUGCAUACUCGCUUGUACUAUCAUACCUACGCUUAGGAUGUUGAAGACUCUACAGAGAUA